Molecule: ribosomal RNA, 253 nt
Filed under: uncultured Parabacteroides sp.
Lineage: Bacteria; Pseudomonadati; Bacteroidota; Bacteroidia; Bacteroidales; Tannerellaceae
Description: partial 16S ribosomal RNA
Rfam family: Bacterial small subunit ribosomal RNA
Source: RNAcentral
UACGGAGGAUCCGAGCGUUAUCCGGAUUUAUUGGGUUUAAAGGGAGCGUAGGUGGAUUGUUAAGUCAGUUGUGAAAGUUUGUGGCUCAACCAUAAAAUUGCCGUUGAAACUGGAAGACUUGAGUGUGUUUGAGGUAGGCGGAAUGCGUGGUGUAGCGGUGAAAUGCAUAGAUAUCACGCAGAACUCCGAUUGCGAAGGCAGCUUACCAGACUGAGUCUGACGCUGAUGCACGAGAGCAUGGGUAGCGAACAGG